This is a long non-coding RNA of Sapajus apella (tufted capuchin), 90 nucleotides long. RefSeq lists it as uncharacterized. The transcript has 3 exons. The record is from RefSeq and is a predicted model, not a curated record. Lineage: Eukaryota; Metazoa; Chordata; Mammalia; Primates; Cebidae.
AGCAAAGGCUCAGGAUACAAAAUCAAUGUGAAAAAAUCACAAGCAUUCCUAUAUACUGAUAAUAGACAAACAGAGAGCAAAAACAUGAGU